This 1349-nucleotide small RNA is filed under the name Arabidopsis thaliana (thale cress). Its description in RNAcentral is "ATSL029610". The record is from RNAcentral. Lineage: Eukaryota; Viridiplantae; Streptophyta; Magnoliopsida; Brassicales; Brassicaceae.
CAAUUUUUAUUAAGCUAAGUAAAACAAGUAAUAAAAAAUAAACUUUAAUCACUAUCUACUGAUCUCGUUGAUGAUAAAUCACUAUCAAUAUCUUCUAAUUCUUCUUCAUUCUCUCGAAGGAAUUCUUGUUGUCUAUAUCCGGCUCUGGUCCAAUCGUCAAGACAUGCUUGAGCUUCAAGAGAAUCUGGACUCAUUCUUGAUCGAGUUUCAUCUAGUAUUUAACCUCCCAUGCUAAAAGCUCGCUCGACGGAAAAUGUAGAAACGGGUGAAGAAAGAACGUCUUUUGCGAUCAUGGCUAAAAUUGGAUAUUGAGAUUGGUGACUCUUCCACCAAUGAAUGAUUUGAAAGUUAUUACCUGCAUCUGCAUCACUAAACUCAAAAUUAGUAGAUAAAUAUUUUUCAAGUUCAGCAUUAUUACCUUGUGAUGGUCGUUGCCUUCUACGUCGACGCAUUCUUUCUGCAAGACUUAACAUAGAAGUUGAUGACAUAUCAUUUUGUAGAGAUGAUUCAGUUCCUUGUGGUACUAAAUGCUCAUAUAAUAUUCAUCAUACAAAUUUCUAUGUCUUUUCUUGAGUUGGAAAUAAUGCUUGGAACUUAAUACUAUCAGACAAAUGUAAUAGAUCAUAAUAUGCGACGAGGUAAUCAAAUAAACCAUCAAAUUUAGUUCGAGGAUCAAAAAUAGAUGCAAGCAAAUUAAGAGGUGGAAUUUCUCUAUAGUAUUUAAACCAUUUAUCUCUCAUACUAGUUAUGCAUGAUGACAAAACAGUAUUAUUUUCAUGUUCAUGCAUCACAUCAGCAAUAUUAACACAUUCAUAUAAAAGUAAAUGACUAGUAUGAUAAUAAACACUGGAUAAUAAAAACGUUGCAUCAUUAAAACAUUUUAAUAACUUUAAAAGUGCAUUACAAUCAUCCCAAUGAGUGGGCCAUAAAGUUAAAGAACUGCAAUUUUGUUGAAUAAAACUACACAAUAAAUAUUUAUAACCAAUAGAAUCAACAAGCAUAUCAUAUGUUGAAUUCCAACGAGUAAAAACAUCUCAAGAAAACCUUUUGGGAGAUACAUUAUGCAUUUUACAAAACUGAAACCAUUUUUUCAUUAAUUGUGGAUGACCCCAUAAAUAAUUCAAAGCAGUUUUAAUUGGAGAAAUAAGAUUAUUUUGAGAAACCAAUAAACCAUCUUGAACACAUAAAUUUAAGACAUGACAAAUGCAUCGAACAUGAAAAUAUUUUCCUCCUAAAAUAAGACUACAAUUAUUUAUUAAUUCAUCAAUGGAAGCAGUAUUAGCGGAUGCAUUAUCAAAAGAAAUAGAAAAUAUUUUGUUUGUUAAAUUAUAUUCUUCUAAAUUUAUUUU